CCCAAAAAUUAAACCCAUGCCUCAGCUACCUAAACGGCUACGUUUUGGCCGUAGGAAUGAAAACCCUAUUUUCUUCUCUUCCCUCCCUUCUCUCGCUCUCGCGCCGCACAAUUCAUCUCUCGUCUCUGCUCUGCCUCUCUCUCUCCGAGCCCUCUCUCACGCCAAACCCCUUUUCUCCCUCACACCCCUUCCUUCUCUUCCUCAAGCCGACACCACCUCACAGCCCCUCUCUCUCUUCUCACCCCUCCCUACUCUGCCUCGCGUAACAGAAAUUAACCUCACAGCCACCAUAGAUCGACGGAAAACAGUGCCUACAGAAACAAUCCCUCUUCCGAAGCUUAAGGUGGGAAAACCAUAGACCCUGCGAUCAAGCUCCUCGGGAAGACGAUCCCGGUGGCUGGGAUGUGCAAGGGAUUUUGUAGGGGUUAUUUGUGAUGGUGAGUUUGGUGGGUGUGGGUUAUUAUUUGGAUCUGAGAGCAAUUUAGUGACAGAUAUGGAAGCGAAAGCUAUUGGGGUUUCUGUUUUGCUGUGGUUGAUCUUAUUGGUUCGUCCAUUAUGCUUAAUUUCAGCUAACACGUGACAGUGGAGCUUCCAUCCAUUCAUGUUAUGCGCGCAAUAAACUUCCACCUUCCAAUAACCAAUUUGUAGAAGAACCGACGCAAUAGAACCGAAUGAACCAAGGAAUGCAAUUCUUGAAUUUGUAGAAAGCAGUUGGACACGUGUAGUCUGAGAUUGCAAAAGCUAUGGCCCAUGUAUUUUACAUAGCCGAAAAAAUUGCCUUUAAUGACACAUAAGCAAUAGAUAACUCCGCUUUUAUAUA
Carya illinoinensis is the source of this 820-nucleotide long non-coding RNA. RefSeq lists it as uncharacterized. The transcript has 2 exons. NCBI's taxonomy places the organism in Eukaryota, Viridiplantae, Streptophyta, Magnoliopsida, Fagales, Juglandaceae. The record is from RefSeq and is a predicted model, not a curated record.